AGCCUCGUAGUACAAUGGAUAGUACAUGAGUUUCCGAAGCUCCUAAUCCAGGUUCGAUUCCCGGCGAGGCUACAA
RNAcentral lists this transfer RNA (75 nucleotides) under Chitinophagaceae bacterium. RNAcentral describes it as "tRNA-Arg". It matches the Rfam family "tRNA". From Rfam's summary of the family: Transfer RNA (tRNA) molecules are approximately 80 nucleotides in length. Their secondary structure includes four short double-helical elements and three loops (D, anti-codon, and T loops). Further hydrogen bonds mediate the characteristic L-shaped molecular structure. tRNAs have two regions of fundamental functional importance: the anti-codon, which is responsible for specific mRNA codon recognition, and the 3' end, to which the tRNAs corresponding amino acid is attached (by aminoacyl-tRNA synthetases). tRNAs cope with the degeneracy of the genetic code in two manners: having more than one tRNA (with a specific anti-codon) for a particular amino acid; and 'wobble' base-pairing, i.e. permitting non-standard base-pairing at the 3rd anti-codon position. RNAcentral also lists the same sequence under 1 other name. The record is from RNAcentral. Lineage: Bacteria; Pseudomonadati; Bacteroidota; Chitinophagia; Chitinophagales; Chitinophagaceae.